CCCCUACUGCUUUCCCAAGCUAGAAGCAGAGAGCUGGAUCAGAAGUGGAGCAGCUGGGGCAUGAACUGGUGCGUAUAUGGCAUGCACAGGACUGAAGGUAACACUGUAUCCUCUGAAUUGUUUUAUGAGAGACAGUCAUUCCUAGCCCAAGAUUUGGUAAGUAAUGUACGUGUUAAUGCACAGUUGACUUUUGGCAGUGGUGAGGAGACUUUGUAGCGUGGGAUGUGGAAAUCUGAGUUGAAUGAGUUAAAACUUCUACUUAGUUUUCUGUUCAAUCCUACGUGUACCAAGCAGGUUUAUUGUUCAUCAAAUUUAAAAGUUGAUUAAAACUGACUUGUUAAACUUUAUGUUGAAAUUUUGUUUUAGGAGAAACCAUUUCUGGUAAGAAAAUUGUUUUAUGCUAUUAAUGGAGUAAACCUGUGACAGAGACUUUAGGUAUGUGAGAAGAAAGAGUGUGACGUAUGGUGCCAGCAUUCUGGCUGCUCUGCCUUUGAUCCAGCACCUUGAUAAAGGCCUGGGGAAAGCGGCAGAUGGUGGCCCAGGCGUUGGGCCCUUAGAAUCUACAAAAGAUAGCUAUAAGAAUGAUCUGGCUUUUGAUUUCAGCUU
Ochotona curzoniae (black-lipped pika) is the source of this 606-nucleotide long non-coding RNA. RefSeq lists it as uncharacterized. The transcript has 2 exons. The record is from RefSeq and is a predicted model, not a curated record. NCBI's taxonomy places the organism in Eukaryota, Metazoa, Chordata, Mammalia, Lagomorpha, Ochotonidae.